This 492-nucleotide ribosomal RNA is filed under the name uncultured bacterium. RNAcentral describes it as "partial 16S ribosomal RNA". It matches the Rfam family "Bacterial small subunit ribosomal RNA", at positions 28 to 507 of the family's 1533-position model. The record is from RNAcentral.
GAUGAACGCUAGCUACAGGCUUAACACAUGCAAGUCGAGGGGAAACGGCAUUAAGUGCUUGCACUUUUUGGACGUCGACCGGCGCACGGGUGAGUAACGCGUAUCCAACCUUCCCAUGACUAAGGGAUAACCUGCCGAAAGGCAGACUAAUACCUUAUGGUCUUCACUGACGGCAUCAGAUGUGAAGUAAAGAUUUAUCGGUUAUGGAUGGGGAUGCGUCUGAUUAGCUUGUUGGCGGGGUAACGGCCCACCAAGGCAACGAUCAGUAGGGGUUCUGAGAGGAAGGUCCCCCACAUGGGAACUGAGACACGGUCCAAACUCCUACGGGAGGCAGCAGUGAGGAAUAUUGGUCAAUGGGCGAGAGCCUGAACCAGCCAAGUAGCGUGCAGGAUGACGGCCCUAUGGGUUGUAAACUGCUUUUGUAUGGGGAUAAAGUCAAUCACGUGUGAUUGUUUGCAGGUACCAUACGAAUAAGGACCGGCUAAGUCCGUG